Molecule: ribosomal RNA, 425 nt
Filed under: uncultured bacterium
Lineage: Bacteria
Description: partial 16S ribosomal RNA
Rfam family: Bacterial small subunit ribosomal RNA
Source: RNAcentral
GUUAGGAAUAUUGGACAAUGGGCGCAAGCCUGAUCCAGCCAUGCCGCGUGAGUGAUGAAGGCCUUCGGGUUGUAAAGCUCUUUAGUCCACGAAUAUAAUGACUGUAGUGGAAGAAUAAGCCCCGGCUAACUUCGUGCCAGCAGCCGCGGUAAUACGAAGGGGGCGAGCGUUAUUCGGAAUCACUGGGCGUAAAGCGUGCGUAGGCUGUUUUGUAAGUCAGAAGUGAAAGCCCAGGGCUUAACCCUGGAAUUGCUUUUGAAACUACAAGACUCGAAUUCGGGAGAGAAUAGAGGAAUUGUCAGUGUAGCAGUGAAAUGCGUAGAUAUUGACAGGAACACCAGUGGCGCAAGCGGCUAUCUGAACCGAUAUUGACGCUGAGGCACGAAAGCGUGGGGAGCAAACAGGAUUAGAAACCCCUGUAGUCC